This 253-nucleotide ribosomal RNA is filed under the name uncultured bacterium. Its description in RNAcentral is "partial 16S ribosomal RNA". It matches the Rfam family "Bacterial small subunit ribosomal RNA", at positions 524 to 776 of the family's 1533-position model. The record is from RNAcentral.
GACGUAGGAGGCGAGCGUUAUCCGGAUUCACUGGGCGUAAAGCGCAUGUAGGCGGUUGCACAAGUCCGUUGUUAAAGCCCCUGGCUCAACUGGGGGAGGACAAUGGAGACUGUGCGACUUGAGGGCAAUAGAGGCACGUGGAACUCCCGGUGUAGCGGUGGAAUGCGUAGAGAUCGGGAAGAACACCAGUGGCGAAGGCGACGUGCUGGGUUGCACCUGACGCUGAGAUGCGAAAGUGUGGGGAGCAAACGGG